Molecule: ribosomal RNA, 274 nt
Filed under: uncultured bacterium
Lineage: Bacteria
Description: partial 16S ribosomal RNA
Rfam family: Bacterial small subunit ribosomal RNA
Source: RNAcentral
AUACGGAGGGUGCAAGCGUUACUCGGAAUCACUGGGCGUAAAGCGCGCGCGGGCGGUCUUUUAAGUUGGAUGUGAAAGCCUACAGCUCAACUGUAGAACUGCAUCCAAAACUAUUAGACUAGAGUCUGGGAGGGGAAGAUGGAAUUAGUUGUGUAGGGGUAAAAUCCGUAGAGAUAACUAGGAAUACCAAAAGCGAAGGCGAUCUUCUGGAACAGUACUGACGCUGAGGCGCGAAAGCGUGGGGAGCAAACAGGAUUAGAAACCCCAGUAGUCC